GGCGACCAAAGCUACCGCCUUGUAUUUUAAAUUUCCAAAUGUAAAAAGAAGCUAACUGUAAUUAAAUUUAUUUCAGUCUAUUUACCAUGUCAAAUUUUUUUGAUGGUACAACAAAGCUUUUCUUAUGCUAUAUUGAGCAUACGUUUUAAUUUUUGAAGUCUACUGUAGUCGCCUUGUGAGUUCGCGCCAAACAUCAACAACAGCCUAAUCGACUCGUCACAUCUCUACUUCACUGACUAAAUUUGGUACCAUGGCUGCAUUAGAAGAAAUCAUAGAUGAAGAAAUGUAUGAAAUGGAAGAAUUGCGACGAGUGAGGAUUCCACGCAUAUAUAAGAUCUUAUGGUGUAUAAAGUAGGUAUUGCAAAGUACAAAUAGUAUGUAAGAAUGAAUAAACUUAACCAUCUACU
Molecule: long non-coding RNA, 407 nt
Organism: Portunus trituberculatus (swimming crab)
Lineage: Eukaryota; Metazoa; Arthropoda; Malacostraca; Decapoda; Portunidae
Exons: 2
Source: RefSeq, a predicted model, not a curated record